RNAcentral lists this ribosomal RNA (873 nucleotides) under uncultured bacterium. RNAcentral's name for it is "bacterial SSU rRNA". It matches the Rfam family "Bacterial small subunit ribosomal RNA", at positions 56 to 916 of the family's 1533-position model. The record is from RNAcentral.
UGCAGUGGAGCGACGAAGGGGCUUCGGCCCUGGCAGAGCCGCGAACGGGUGAGUAACACGUGGGUGACCUGCCCCGAUGAUUGGGACAACCCGAGGAAACUCGGGCUAAUACCAAAUGUGCUCCUUGGUCCAAAGGCCUUGGAGGAAAGGAAGCUUCGGCCUCCGCAUCGGGAUGGGCCCGCGGCGCAUUAGCUUGUUGGUGGGGUAACGGCCUACCAAGGCGACGAUGCGUAGCUGGUCUGAGAGGACGAUCAGCCACACUGGGACUGAGACACGGCCCAGACUCCUACGGGAGGCAGCAGUGGGGAAUCUUGCGCAAUGCGCGAAAGCGUGACGCAGCAACGCCGCGUGUGGGAAGACGGCCUUCGGGUUGUAAACCACUUUCAGUUGGGACGAAGGGUCAUCUGUGAAUAGCAGCUUGACUUGACGGUACCUUCACAAGAAGCCCCGGCUAACUACGUGCCAGCAGCCGCGGUAAUACGUAGGGGGCAAGCGUUGUCCGGAAUCAUUGGGCGUAAAGCGCGUGUAGGCGGGUCGGUAAGUCUGCUCUGAAAGUCCAAGGCUCAACCUUGGGAUGCGGGUGGAUACUGCCGACCUCGAGUCCGGAAGAGGCGAGUGGAAUUCCUGGUGUAGCGGUGAAAUGCGCAGAUAUCAGGAGGAACACCAAUGGCGAAGGCAGCUCGCUGGGACGUGACUGACGCUGAGACGCGAAAGCGUGGGGAGCAAACAGGAUUAGAUACCCUGGUAGUCCACGCCGUAAACGAUGGGCACUAGGUGUGGGAGGUGUCGACUCCUCCCGUGCCGAAGCUAACGCAUUAAGUGCCCCGCCUGGGGAGUACGGGCCGCAAGGCUAAAACUCAAAGGAAUUGACGG